GACCCCAGGUCAGGCGGGAAUACCCGCUGAAUUUAAGCAUAUCAAUAAGCGGARGAAAAG
RNAcentral lists this ribosomal RNA (60 nucleotides) under Parietaria cretica. RNAcentral describes it as "partial 26S ribosomal RNA". Lineage: Eukaryota; Viridiplantae; Streptophyta; Magnoliopsida; Rosales; Urticaceae. The record is from RNAcentral.